Molecule: long non-coding RNA, 2101 nt
Organism: Gallus gallus (chicken)
Lineage: Eukaryota; Metazoa; Chordata; Aves; Galliformes; Phasianidae
Source: Ensembl
GUAACAUUCGCUGCCUCCGUAGGCAAUGAUGAGCUUUGAGGAGAGUGGUAAUUUUAAAAAGGAAAUGUCUUCUCAUCAGCGCGUCCUUUGUUCCAAAUGUAUUCUGAAGGGAAAUCAGGAAAUGAAAGAAAGGAACAUUGCGUUUUGGUUCUGACUUUAAGGAAGGAGACGUGCCCACCGAUAGUUAUUAAUCAUCAGUAAUGUACUUAGAAACAUACGUGUCUUUAAACUGCUCUUCAAAGUUGGCACGGGGACCGAUGAACUGCGCUCCCUAGAAAACGGGAAGUUCAGAUCCAGACUUUCCCUUCCUUCGUCUUUCAAUACAGAGCCGUGUAGCGAUCUGUGGGUUCAGUGAGGUAACCUAAUGUAGGCAGGCCAGCCCCCCAGGAAGAUGCUCACUGAGUGAGCAGAGCUGGAAAGGACUUUCAUGCAGAAAUACCUGACGAGUGCAGAGAUCAGGUGAGAACAUGCAGAUGCAGCCUGCUUGGGUGGGGGUGGGCAGUACAGCCUUGCAGUUGAGAUCGAGGAAAUGCUUGGUUGCAGCUCACUAAUGUUACUCUGUUUUUCAGUGAUACCUUUUCGAGUCCUGAAGAAGUCUACCGCAAGCAGCGAGCAGAUAGUAUAGUACUCUUGGCCACUUUGGGCUAGAGAAUCACUUUGGUUUUUCCAGCCUCUACUGCCUUCAUUUCUGACCUGUGAUUUCACCAGAUGGCGAACAACAUAACUGUAUUUGUGGGGAAUACAAAGAUUGGCUGAUAGGUAAUGGAGGACGCCUGUUGUUUACCCACACUUGCAUCAUUGUGCACCUGAAAUAUACAAAAGCAUGUGGAAGCUGCUUUGACCAUCCAUGUAGGGCCAUGACAUACACAAGAACUGAUUAAAAUGAAGGUUUUUGGUCGGCAUCCAUAUACGCAAACCAAAGAUGGAAGAGCUGCAUCUCAAAUAUCCAACUGUGUUCCUACUCAGCAAUGCCAGGGGUUAGAGUAUUUCUCUUGCUGUUUUACAUCCCAGACUUGGUACGAGCAAGCACAGAUGUGUCUUUUGUGCAGGAGAGGGAAGGAAGAGAGAGCCAAAUGAAAAAUCCUGAAUGACAACAUCUCCAAGUAUCACAGCAGUACCUUCUAAAGCUGGAAGAUAAAGCUGAUGAGGUGGUUACCAUGGCUACAGAAGCGGCAUAUUUGAAUGAAAAUUGAUUUUAAGCUUUUAAAUGCUAAUUGCAUCUGUGAACAGGUGACAUUUGAAAUAUCUUUUUCUCCCUCCUCCCUCCCCCCAUAUGUUGCAGAGUAUAAUGAGUGAAAGAAGAGGGUGACAAAGGUGACAACACACUGUUAAAUUAGAACACUGAUACAGUCUUCAACACUAAAGUAUGUCACACCAUUUGCUUGUGUAGUAGUACAAGUAAUAAGUGAACACAUAUAUAGAUCACAGUGUCUGAGGAGCAGAAACUGUCUAGAACCCAAUUAAUAUAUUUUUCAUGGUAUUGUGAAAAAUUAAACAGCUUUAUUUAAAUUAAUCACCAGAACAAUUGUUUCUGGUAGCUCAUAAUAAAGAGGCUAUUAAAACUUACCAUUCAGAAACUGCUAUAAAUUCUCAGUGAUGAGGAAGCUUUGCAAAUGCCUGGAAUUAGAAGCAUUUCUUAUUUCACUCUGUACACUGGGAAAUAAAGUUGAACUUCUACACAGUAGUAGACUCAGACUAGGGAACCAAGAUGCUGUGUAGACUGGUGUUACUGUGCAACUGCUGCUAAUUGCUGUCACACCACUGUCUGACCACACUCAGGCUGUAGUUGCAGAAGACAUAGAAGGUGUAAUUUACCUCACUGUAAGCAUAGUUUUAAUAUGAUCUGAAAGCUCUUUAACUUGCAGUGGGUUACAUUCCACUUGUUAGCGCUUGCUUUUCGAAACACUCUUGAUAUGAUUACUGUUUAAGACAUGAUCAGUUGUAAUGCAGAUUUAUAUUUUGUUAAAUUAAUUGUAAAAUUGUAAAUAAAAAUUGUAAAUCUGUGAGGGGUUUCAGAUUAUUUUAGUUUUUUGUUUGUUUGUUUGUUUUUCAUUUUUGUUUUUUAAUAUGCAGUGUGAGAAAUCUGGUGGUUUUGGCUGUG